RNAcentral lists this ribosomal RNA (407 nucleotides) under uncultured bacterium. Its description in RNAcentral is "partial 16S ribosomal RNA". It matches the Rfam family "Bacterial small subunit ribosomal RNA", at positions 30 to 526 of the family's 1533-position model. The record is from RNAcentral.
AUUGAACGCUAGCGGGAUGCCUUACACAUGCAAGUCGAACGGAGUGGCGAACGGGUGAGUAAUGUAUCGGAACGUGCCCAGUAGCGGGGGAUAACUACGCGAAAGCGUAGCUAAUACCGCAUACUAUUGGAGCGGCCGAUAUCGGAGUAGCUUGUUGGUGGGGUAACGGCUCACAAAGGCGCCGAUGCGUAGCGGGUUUGAGAGGAAGACCCGCCACACUGGGACUGAGACACGGCCCAGACUCCUACGGGAGGCAGCAGUUGGGAAUUUUGGACAAUGGGGGAAACCCUGAUCCAGCCAUCCCGCGUGUGCGAUGAAGGCCUUCGGGUUGUAAAGUACUUUCAGCGAGGAGGCGUUACUCGCAGAAGAAGCACCGGCUAACUCCGUGCCAGCAGCCGCGGUAAUUC